CGUCGAUUGAUCGGCUGGCGGCAGGCCUAACACAUGCUAAAGUCGACCGGUAGAGAGGUGCUUGCACCUCUAGAGAGCGGCGGACGGGUGAGUAAUGCCUAGGAAUCUGCCUGGUAGUGGGGGAUAACGCUCGGAAACGGACGCUAAUACCGCAGACGUCCUACGGGAGAAAGCAGGGGACCUUCGGGCCUUGCGCUAUCAGAUGAGCCUAGGUCGGAUUAGCUAGUUGGUGGGGUAAUGGCUCACCAAGGCGACGAUCCGUAACUGGUCUGAGAGGAUGAUCAGUCACACUGGAACUGAGACACGGUCCAGACUCCUACGGGAGGCAGCAGUGGGGAAUAUUGGACAAUGGGCGAAAGCCUGAUCCAGCCAUGCCGCGUGUGUGAAGAAGGUCUUCGGAUUGUAAAGCACUUUAAGUUGGGAGGAAGGGCAUUAACCUAAUACGUUAGUGUUUUGACGUUACCGACAGAAUAAGCACCGGCAAACUCUGUGCCAGCAGCCGCGGUAAUACAGAGGGUGCAAGCGUUAAUCGGAAUUACUGGGCGUAAAGCGCGCGUAGGUGGUUCGUUAAGUUGGAUGUGAAAGCCCCGGGCUCAACCUGGGAACUGCAUUCAAAACUGUCGAGCUAGAGUAUGGUAGAGGGUGGUGGAAUUUCCUGUGUAGCGGUGAAAUGCGUAGAUAUAGGAAGGAACACCAGUGGCGAAGGCGACCACCUGGACUGAUACUGACACUGAGGUGCGAAAGCGUGGGGAGCAAACAGGAUUAGAUACCCUGGUAGUCCACGCCGUAAACGAUGUCAACUAGCCCGUUGGGAGCCUUGAGCUCUUAGUGGCGCAGCUAACGCAUUAAGUUGACCGCCUGGGGAGUACGGCCGCAAGGUUAAACUCAG
RNAcentral lists this ribosomal RNA (889 nucleotides) under Pseudomonas brassicacearum. Its description in RNAcentral is "bacterial SSU rRNA". It matches the Rfam family "Bacterial small subunit ribosomal RNA", at positions 23 to 904 of the family's 1533-position model. Lineage: Bacteria; Pseudomonadati; Pseudomonadota; Gammaproteobacteria; Pseudomonadales; Pseudomonadaceae. The record is from RNAcentral.